This 74-nucleotide transfer RNA is filed under the name Rosa chinensis. Its description in RNAcentral is "tRNA RchiOBHm_Chr5g0058371". It matches the Rfam family "tRNA". Rfam says of the family: Transfer RNA (tRNA) molecules are approximately 80 nucleotides in length. The record is from Rfam by way of RNAcentral. Lineage: Eukaryota; Viridiplantae; Streptophyta; Magnoliopsida; Rosales; Rosaceae.
UUUGUUGUAGUCUAGUUGGUUAGAAUAUUUUGGUCUCAUCCAAAAAGACUUGGGUUUGAGUCCCAGCGAUGGAA